Long non-coding RNA from Peromyscus californicus insignis, 509 nucleotides. RefSeq lists it as uncharacterized. Lineage: Eukaryota; Metazoa; Chordata; Mammalia; Rodentia; Cricetidae. The record is from RefSeq and is a predicted model, not a curated record. The transcript has 3 exons.
UUGUGGCUUGUCAGCAAUUGCUUGAGACAAGCUUCCAUGUGUGAAAGCUACUUGGCAUGAAUGCCUGGGCCGUACCAAGUGUCACCGCAGCAAGAGGGGGAGACAGAAGAAAAACAGAUCAGACCAGAGCAGACAAUAGGCCCCUAAAGUGUUCCCCCUAAGUUGCUUUGAUGUUGUCCUGGUGUCUUGAUACCAGGAGGCCAGGGAUUGCUGGAAAAGGGUCUUUUUUGUCUUCAUCCACUUCCCUCCAGUUUCUGCAAUGAUUCUCCAGAAUCUCUGCUCAUGAAAAAGGACUGCAUGUGGGACUAACUGGUGUCACUCCGCUUUGACCUAAAAACGCCUGUGUGGUGGGGUGACAGUUCUCCUCCUCUGUCCGUCCCUCCCUGCCCCAAUGUAGAAGACAGGGCAGAGUGGACAACUUGAAAGGUGAGGGUCACCUUUGAGGAAGGGACUCCCGACUCCUCACCCCCAGGAUGAACUCUGCAGUGUCGUGACCCUUGGGGUUUGGG